This is a long non-coding RNA of Syngnathoides biaculeatus (alligator pipefish), 1130 nucleotides long. RefSeq lists it as uncharacterized. NCBI's taxonomy places the organism in Eukaryota, Metazoa, Chordata, Actinopteri, Syngnathiformes, Syngnathidae. The transcript has 3 exons. The record is from RefSeq and is a predicted model, not a curated record.
CUGAGUGUGAAAAUGGACUCAUCGUGUCUUUUAGAUCUCCAGUCUUGACCCUACAAAUGUCCCGCCCUGUCUUUCCAGACAAAAAGUCUUCCCUUUUUGGGUCUGUGUAAAACUUCUGGGUGGUCCAUUGAUGAGCACUUACACUUUGGCCUCCGGGCAUACACGGCGCUUACAGCAUUCGAUGUUUGACCCUAAACAAAUGUGUCGCAGACAGUUGCAGGGAACAACAAGAUCUGUUUGUGUUGAUAGCAGGACGGGACUCCAGUUUCCCAUGGCAGAGAUGUACACAUGAGAACAGCUGCAUUCCAAAUAAUGAGGUCUGUGUGGUAUGGGUCAGGAAGCACAUGAAAGGUGGCAGGAAAACAGAUAUGCAGAUUGGCUGGUGACCAGUUCAGGGUGUGCCUCACCUCUCGCCUGAAGAUAGCUGGCUCCAGCACGCCAGUACAGAAAUUGAAUGAAUGGUAAGUCUUUGGCUUUGUGAGUAAAAACUAAUAUCAGGUGAGUGUACUAAAACUACUGUCUCCAACUCUUAAUCCUAUGGGUUGUUUUCACUUAUGUUACAUUUUUUGCUGAACCACUGCGCGCCACCAUUUAACCUCUCAACCUAACGUGUACCCAGUGUGGAUGUCUACGGAAUAUUCUCAAUUACUGUUUGUGUUUUUGUGUUUCACGGGCGUCUCUGGAGUCAAGUACACAAGAGAGGACUUGCUAACCAUCAGAGAGCCUUCUUCUGACUUUUUUUCGACAACUCACGCCAAUUUGCUGAAGCUUUUUCCAGAGUUACUAGUCGGCGCGCUAGCAAGCCUCGCGAUCUGGUACACAAGUCCGGCUGCGUAAGCGGGGACAUCGUCAAACGCUUUCCGACGGAAGACUUUGGAGGUUCUGCGGCUCUGUGCUUCACAGAGACUUGGCUUGUGGACGAUUAAGAUCGUUUUUUUGUUAGUCACUUGAAAGAUUCGAGAAUUUUGUGAAAUACUGGAUUUGUUCAUUCUUUAGUCUUUCUGCCACUGUCAUCGAAUUUUAAACAAAUAAUAAACAUUUCGCUUUGCUUGUGGUGAACUAAUAUACAGGUUUUUACUUUUUGAAAAAAAAAUUAAAUAAAUGGAGUUUGCCUCGAUAUUAAAAAAUAA